RNAcentral lists this ribosomal RNA (433 nucleotides) under uncultured bacterium. RNAcentral describes it as "partial 16S ribosomal RNA". It matches the Rfam family "Bacterial small subunit ribosomal RNA", at positions 29 to 507 of the family's 1533-position model. The record is from RNAcentral.
AACGAACGCUGGCGGCAUGCCUAACACAUGCAAGUCGAACGAGACCUUCGGGUCUAGUGGCGCACGGGUGCGUAACGCGUGGGAACCUGCCCUUAGGUUCGGAAUAACUCCCCGAAGGGGGGGUAAAAACCGGUAAAGUCUUCGGGACAAAAGAUUAAUCGCCUUUGGAUGGGCCCGCGUUGGUUUAGCUAGUUGGUAGGGUAAAAGCCUACCAAGGCGACGAUCCAUAGCUGGUCUGAGAGGAUGAUCAGCCACACUGGGACUGAGACACGGCCCAGACUCCUACGGGAGGCAGCAGUGGGGAAUAUUGGACAAUGGGCGAAAGCCUGAUCCAGCAAUGCCGCGUGAGUGAUGAAGGCCUUAGGGUUGUAAAGCUCUUUUACCCGGGAUGAUAAUGACAGUACCGGGAGAAUAAGCUCCGGCUAACUCCGUG